RNAcentral lists this unclassified non-coding RNA (220 nucleotides) under soil metagenome. Its description in RNAcentral is "partial contains 5.8S ribosomal RNA, internal transcribed spacer 2, and large subunit ribosomal RNA". The record is from RNAcentral.
AACCAUAGAAACCUGCGGAGUACCUGCGGAAGGAUCAUUACAGAGUUGCAAAACUCCCUAAACCAUUGUGAACCUACCUUCUACCGUUGCUUCGGCGGGCGGGCCUAGCGCCCCCCCCGGCCCCCCGCGGGCGCCCGCCGGAGGAUAACCAAACUCUUGACAUCAGUGGCCUCUCUGAGUAUUCUUUACUGAAUAAGUCAAAACUUUUAACAACGGAUCU